UGGUGACAGUUAAUUUACUAUUUGAUUAUUCCAUGAAAAACUAAGUGUUCCUUUUAGUUCACUCAAUCAAUCAGUAAAUUUUUAUUGAGCCACUACAGGUGUAAACACUGUGGUAGGCAUCAGAGACACAGACACUUAGGACAAAAUCACUUCUUUAAAGAGUUUAAAGCUGAUUCAAGACACAAAUAGCAACUUGCAAAACAGGAUUAGUCAUAUAUUUAUUCAAAAACUAGUUCUUGACUCUUUAUUUCAGGCACUGGGCUAAAUGCUGGACUAAGGUAAUUUCCUCUCCUACAAUUUAGAACCCCUGGCCUACUGGGAGAGGUAAUGAUAACAUUAUUAUGUUUUUUAGAUAAGGCUCAAAGUUCCAUGAGAGAUCCAGGAGAAGCACUCUGGACUCCAUAGACAAAGCACUUCUUGAUGAGAACUGUAGGAAACAGAAGAUACCCAAGAUAAAAGCAUGAAGAGCAUGGAAGUUAAAGAAAAGAGAGACACUUUGUCACUGUAAGACAUUUAUUAAACCUGAUUGUGGAUGUAUAAUAUAUGAAAGGAAAUGUUCAUGAGGGAUAAUGGGAGUGUAAGGAGGAAGGAUACGAGAGUUAGAAAAAUACCCCCCCAGUAUCCAUGACUUGAUUCCCAUAAGCUGUGAAUGUGUUCAAUUGCAUGCAAAAGGGACUUUGCUAAAACUCAGUUACUGACCUUAAAGUAGAAAGACUGUCCUAGAAUACGUGGGUGAGCCUGAUCUAAUCAUAUGAACACUUAAAGGCAAAGAAUUGUUGCUAGAUGAUAACCAGCAAGUAAUAGGCACCUCAGUCCUAUAACCCCAAGGAAAUGACUUCAGACAACAACUUGAAUGAGCUUGGAAAUGGAUUCUUUCCAGAGUCUCUGGAGAAGCUAAGGUAACUGACGCUCUGGGUUCAGUUUUGUGAAACUCAGAGCAUAGAAACUAAUUGAGCCAACCCUGACUUAAGAUCUAGAAAACAAUGAGAUAAUAAAUGUCUGUCAUUUUCAAAAAACUAAUAAGAGGUUAAAGAGGUAAAUAGAAGCCAAAAUAUUUAGGUCCUCAUGUGCCACCAGGCUAUUAUAAAAGUUUGCUUCAAAGCAUAAAAGAGUAGUAUAUUUUACAUAAAAAGUAAAUUUUACAGCAAUGUUAUAAAGUAGGUGCUAGAAAGUAAGAUCCUCUAAUACAAUAUAAGCUCCAUGAAGGUGGGAAUUAUUGAUGUACAAUGCUAAAACCUUAUCCCCCAGAACAGCUCUAGUACUUAACAGAUACUCUACGAAAUAUUUGUUACUGAAAAAAUCAUACUAUCCAACAGUUGAAAGGCUCAGUAAAUUGUUGAUCAAAUUUUGCCUGUUUCAAUUGUGGGCAUACUGGGGCAAAGUGGUCCAUCUUCCUUAUCUUCACUCACCAUUUUCUAUUUACAUUCUUUUUUUACUUUGAACUGAAGGAAUAUUUAAGUCAUAUAAUCAAAAUAGGUUCAGAAAAUGGCACUAAGGUGGCAGUAAGAUUGGACCUGCAGUCCUGUAAAGGGUGAGAAGGACAAGCAAUUCAUGGUGAGGAUUUGAUUUGGCAGGAUGCCCAUCUGGAAUCAGGAGUAAAUACCUCCUGAACUUCUCCUGAUGAGUGUUUAUCUCUUCCUUGUCCUCAUUAUGGCUAUACAUUCUGGAUUCCUCACUCCUUGAAUGAGGUAGAAAUGAGACUACAUUUCCAAGCUAGUCUUUAGCAUAAACUGUUCCAAGUAUGUACCAUAAAAUACUCUUUGGGAAAAGAAAAAUAAAAUAAAAACCCAGUGAAAAAGACCAUUCUGAUUUCUGGUUUGGGUCUUAGCAGUAAAGAAAUAAUUUUUUUUUGUAAAAUUAUCUUUAUUUUAUAUAGUUUUCAUGUUUUAAAUCACGGCCCUUGUUUGGAUCAAAUUGUAAUUUCCCCAAAGGAAAAGAUGAAGUGAACCCUUAUGCACGAAACAUAGUUCAAUACUUUGCACAUAAUGAGUAUUCAAUAAACAGUGCUGCCUCUCUUAUUUGGAAAAGUAAAAAUCAGAAAAACUAAAAACAGAUACCUCAGACUAGCAACUAUACUUUCUUAUAGUAAUCUUUCUAGCUCUUCAUUGCCCAUACUUAAAGCCAGAUAAAAAAGAUAGUUCAUUCUUUUAUUGACAGUUACUAGGUGUCUACCAGGUAACAGGUACCAAGGCACAUACAGGGACUCAAUGAUAUCCUUGAUAACAGAGAAUUCACUGUCUACUUGGGGCAACAGGCAUGGACCAAAUAAUCACAUUAUUAAAUAUAUAACAAAAAAUUGAAUAAGUAUUCAUAAUGUAAAGAACUUGUUCCUCAGAUAGAAAUAAAAGUGGAAAACAAUGCCAAGCAGAUUUUAUUAUGGCAUUCUGAUGUCAUAUGGCAUUUUGGAGGAACUCCAAGCUAUUUAAUAACACUGGCACACAGGGUGUAUCUGAUGAGAAGCUGGAAAUGGGGUUGGGGAGGUAUGUUAGCCAGAAUGUGUGCUGCUGAGUUAUCUGGGCUUCAUUCUGUAGGUUAUGAGCACAUCCACUAUCUUGGGCUUUUCCUUUUAUAAAGUAAUCAUUCAAAUUUGCCAUAUAACUUAUAAAACUAUAUACUUACAAAUUUUUAUGUUUUAAAAACUUUUCUAAGCAAAUAAUAGUAUUUUUCAUAAUAAUCACUGUAUCCCAUUACCAGAAAAAGAUCUUCACUGAGAUUUUGUUCUUAUUUAUUUUAGAAAAGAAUAUUUUUCCUUGUAGUUAAUAUUUCACACACACACACACACACACACACACACACACAAUUAAUCAAUCUGGAAAUCUCCCUCUUUGAUCCAGAAGCUAAAUUGUACAAGUAACAUUAGGAGGAAAGUUUUCUUUUCUUUACACUUUCAACUUACAUAGAAAAAAAAUUUACCACCAUAAGAAAUACAAAGCAAAUAUAAAGACACCAGCUAGAGAAUACAAAAUGAUUCUUUUCAUUCUGUAGAGAAAUACAAAAUGUUACAUUUUAAGUGAGAAAAUAAAGAUGUUCUUUUAUGUCAACACAGGAAAACAAAAAUAAAGGAUAUUUAAAUUAGCCUUUCCUGUAACAGUAGUAAUCAAUCUUAUCAUUUUCAUAAAAUGAACAAUUUUGAUUAAAGUGUAAACACAACCCAGAAUUUUAAUGAAGAAAUUUUAGUUCCUGAAUUCACAAAAAGUCUAUUCUAUCAGUCACUUAGCCCUUUUUCAAAAAUAUGGGGAAAAUAUUUGGCUAUUUUGUUUCAUUUGCUCUUAAUCCCACCUGCUUCACUGUGUAAGCAGGACUUGUUUGAAAAGUGCAGUCUAAAUAUUUAGAGUAAAUGCUCAAGCACAUAAUAGAAAUAUGUGGGAUUUUUUUUGUUGGGGGGAAGGGGGACUUUGCUCUAAAACGAAAUAGGUUAUCUGUGUUGGACAAAUCAUGUUUCCUCGAAUAUUCUGAAGACAUUAUCUAUAAAGAACCUUUUAAAGCACAGAUUAUUGUUUAAGUAUAGAUUCAUAACAGUUUGGAACUAGGAGGACCUAAAAGUUUAUCUCAACUACAUUCCUACUGUUCUGAGCUUCCAAUUUUCCCCAGACUCCCUUGCACUUAAUUUGGAGCCUUGUAACUAGUCAGUGGACCAUGAAUGAAAGUGUUACCUUAUCUCUUAGCUGAGCUUGUAAAAUCAAUAUACAUACUCCAAUGUCUACUCCUCCUGUAGCGUCCUACCAAUCUGUGCCCCACCCCAAACAACCUAGUGACUUGUAUAGUGCCUUCUCUUGCCAACUUGCACUGAAAUAGAAAUGUAAGUAAGGGAAAAAAAACCCUGCUGUUCUGUUGAGCUGAGAUCAUGCAGUCUGUCUGCUGUGGCAGCUAACAUUUAAUUCAACACAUACAACAUGAAAUUUUUUCCUGUGUAACAAAAUCUAAACUAUUUGACAUUAACCUAUGGUCACAGGCAAGGUAGCGAAUACCAGGAGCUGGAGAGACAAUGAAACAAUUACACAUAGACUGUAUAUUUGUUAGUGCCAAUAAAGUAAGAGAAAGACGAUGUAUUACUAAACUUCUAGUUGUCAGGGAGAGAUCACCUAGAGGACGUGAGCUGGAUCUGGGUAUCAGAGACUCCUCAUCCCCUCCCCAGUCCUUGGAAUGUAUGUUCUACUCACCAAUCCCACAUUGGGGACAUUUUCAAGGACACAGCCUUGAAAGAGCAAUGUGUUGUUGAGACCAUCUGAGCAGAAUGCAUGACUGAACUUAGCUAAAGCCUCAGUACAAACUUUAAGAUUCUGGAGGUGUGUGCAGAAAUCUGCUCAUCAAGAGCCUGAAGACCAGCCUUGUAAGUAAGUUCCUUUGCUUAUUAAACUGCCACCUACCAACCUGGCCUGCCUCUUUCUUCAGUAUCUCCUUACCUUCUGUGUACAUGAGUCAAUCUGCAAUCAACAGUAGUUAUGGUGAAAUAAUGUAUAUUAUUUGCUAUUAACUGUUUGACAGUAUAUUUUAAGAAAGUGAUUAGCACAGGAAGAAUUUAUCCAUUUUCAAAUAAAAGUCUGGGCCUUGCAUGAUUGGAAAAACUGACAGACUCAGAAAAUAAGAAGAUAUUAUUAAAACUGGCUUCAAGAAACAAAGGUCAGUAUGUAUAUAUUUUCUUCUGGAUAAAAUAAAAUAGGGAAAAGUUCAGAUUACACAGGUGUGGCUGACACAUAUGUUCCAAAGAAUCUCAAGAUAGUUCCCAAUAUUUGAGGAGAGACACAUGGAAGAAGAAAACAAAACAGCAAUGCAGACUUCAGGAACAUGAAUGAGUCAUGGAACUGACUGGAAGCAGGUAAGUCAGGAGCUAACUGAAUUUUCCAAGGAAUGCUUAUUGUAAGUUUGAACUAGAAAACAUUUUGGAUUGUUCUACACU
Molecule: long non-coding RNA, 4897 nt
Filed under: Sus scrofa (pig)
Lineage: Eukaryota; Metazoa; Chordata; Mammalia; Artiodactyla; Suidae
Description: lncRNA (ENSSSCG00000052774.1)
Source: RNAcentral